RNAcentral lists this ribosomal RNA (322 nucleotides) under uncultured Bodomorpha. RNAcentral describes it as "SSU rRNA". It matches the Rfam family "Eukaryotic small subunit ribosomal RNA", at positions 634 to 955 of the family's 1831-position model. The record is from RNAcentral. Lineage: Eukaryota; Cercozoa; Glissomonadida.
GAUUUCUGGCUUGAAACAUCUGGCCGGCCACGGUUUCGUGUGUUAGUGCUUGAUGUUCUGGCCAUCCUUCCAAUCGCUAUUGGCUAUUCUUCAUUGAAUGGUCAGUAGUAUUGGAUCUUUUACUUUGAAAAAAUUAGAGUGUUUCAAGCAGGCUUUAUGCUAUGAAUACAUUAGCAUGGAAUAAUAAUUUAGGACUUCGGUUCUAUUUUGUUGGUUUCUAGGACUGAAGUAAUGAUUGAUAGGGAUAGUUGGGGGUGCUAGUAUUCAGCGGCCAGAGGUGAAAUUCAUGGAUUCGCUGAAGACUGACUUAUGCGAAAGCAUU